GUGCCUGUGGCUCAAAGGAGUAGGGCGCUGGCCCCAUAUGCCGGAGAUGGCAGGUUCAAACCCAGCCCCGGCCCA
Molecule: non-coding RNA, 75 nt
Organism: Otolemur garnettii (small-eared galago)
Lineage: Eukaryota; Metazoa; Chordata; Mammalia; Primates; Galagidae
Source: Rfam